AAAUUGCCCUGAUGUGGGGGAUAACCAUUGGAAACGAUGGCUAAUACCGCAUGAUGCCUACGGGCCAAAGAGGGGGACCUUCGGGCCUCUCGCGUCAGGAUAUGCCUAGGUGGGAUUAGCUAGUUGGUGAGGUAAGGGCUCACCAAGGCGACGAUCCCUAGCUGGUCUGAGAGGAUGAUCAGCCACACUGGAACUGAGACACGGUCCAGACUCCUACGGGAGGCAGCAGUGGGGAAUAUUGCACAAUGGGCGCAAGCCUGAUGCAGCCAUGCCGCGUGUGUGAAGAAGGCCUUCGGGUUGUAAAGCACUUUCAGUCGUGAGGAAGGUAGUGUAGUUAAUAGCUGCAUUAUUUGACGUUAGCGACAGAAGAAGCACCGGCUAACUCCGUGCCAGCAGCCGCGGUAAUACGGAGGGUGCGAGCGUUAAUCGGAAUUACUGGGCGUAAAGCGCAUGCAGGUGGUUUGUUAAGUCAGAUGUGAAAGCCCGGGGCUCAACCUCGGAAUAGCAUUUGAAACUGGCAGACUAGAGUACUGUAGAGGGGGGUAGAAUUUCAGGUGUAGCGGUGAAAUGCGUAGAGAUCUGAAGGAAUACCGGUGGCGAAGGCGGCCCCCUGGACAGAUACUGACACUCAGAUGCGAAAGCGUGGGGAGCAAACAGGAUUAGAUACCCUGGUAGUCCACGCCGUAAACGAUGUCUACUUGGAGGUUGUGGCCUUGAGCCGUGGCUUUCGGAGCUAACGCGUUAAGUAGACCGCCUGGGGAGUACGGUCGCAAGAUUAAAACUCAAAUGAAUUGACGGGGGCCCGCACAAGCGGUGGAGCAUGUGGUUUAAUUCGAUGCAACGCGAAGAACCUUACCUACUCUUGACAUCCAGAGAACUUUCCAGAGAUGGAUUGGUGCCUUCGGGAACUCUGAGACAGGUGCUGCAUGGCUGUCGUCAGCUCGUGUUGUGAAAUGUUGGGUUAAGUCCCGCAACGAGCGCAACCCUUAUCCUUGUUUGCCAGCGAGUAAUGUCGGGAACUCCAGGGAGACUGCCGGUGAUAAACCGGAGGAAGGUGGGGACGACGUCAAGUCAUCAUGGCCCUUACGAGUAGGGCUACACACGUGCUACAAUGGCGCAUACAGAGGGCGGCCAACUUGCGAAAGUGAGCGAAUCCCAAAAAGUGCGUCGUAGUCCGGAUUGGAGUCUGCAACUCGACUCCAUGAAGUCGGAAUCGCUAGUAAUCGUG
This 1228-nucleotide ribosomal RNA is filed under the name Vibrio sp. JF03. Its description in RNAcentral is "bacterial SSU rRNA". It matches the Rfam family "Bacterial small subunit ribosomal RNA", at positions 123 to 1346 of the family's 1533-position model. The record is from RNAcentral. Lineage: Bacteria; Pseudomonadati; Pseudomonadota; Gammaproteobacteria; Vibrionales; Vibrionaceae.